UUUUUUUUAGUUUAAAAUAAAACAUUACACUUUCAUUGUAAAAAUAAUUUUCAAAAUUAAAAAAAU
This 66-nucleotide transfer RNA is filed under the name Neotrogla sp. 5 KY-2017. Its description in RNAcentral is "tRNA-Glu". The record is from RNAcentral. Lineage: Eukaryota; Metazoa; Arthropoda; Insecta; Psocodea; Prionoglarididae.